This 463-nucleotide ribosomal RNA is filed under the name Streptococcus sanguinis. Its description in RNAcentral is "bacterial SSU rRNA". It matches the Rfam family "Bacterial small subunit ribosomal RNA", at positions 28 to 474 of the family's 1533-position model. The record is from RNAcentral. Lineage: Bacteria; Bacillati; Bacillota; Bacilli; Lactobacillales; Streptococcaceae.
GACGAACGCGGCGGCGUGCCUAAUACAUGCAAGUAGAACACUGAAGAGAAGAGCUUGCUCUUCUUGGAUGAGUUGCGAACGGGUGAGUAACGCGUAGGUAACCUGCCUGGUAGCGGGGGAUAACUAUUGGAAACGAUAGCUAAUACCGCAUAAAAUUGAUUAUUGCAUGAUAAUUAAUUGAAAGAUGCAAUUGCAUCACUACCGGAUGGACCUGCGUUGUAUUAGCUAGUUGGUGAGGUAACGGCUCACCAAGGCGACGAUACAUAGCCGACCUGAGAGGGUGAUCGGCCACACUGGGACUGAGACACGGCCCAGACUCCUACGGGAGGCAGCAGUAGGGAAUCUUCGGCAAUGGGGGGAACCCUGACCGAGCAACGCCGCGUGAGUGAAGAAGGUUUUCGGAUCGUAAAGCUCUGUUGUAAGAGAAGAACGGGUGUGAGAGUGGAAAGUUCACACUGUGACG